RNAcentral lists this ribosomal RNA (254 nucleotides) under uncultured bacterium. Its description in RNAcentral is "partial 16S ribosomal RNA". It matches the Rfam family "Bacterial small subunit ribosomal RNA", at positions 57 to 305 of the family's 1533-position model. The record is from RNAcentral.
GCAAGUUGAACGAAGUACCAUGAGUUUACUCUUGGUAACUUAGUAGCGGACGGGUGAGUAACGCGUGAGUAACCUACCUUUGUGAGGGGGACAACAGCUGGAAACGGCUGCUAAUACCGCAUAAGGCCACGGUGUCGAUUGACACAGUGGUAAAAGAAUCUAAUCGCACAAAGACGGACUCGCGUCCCAUUAGCUAGUUGGUGAGGUAACGGCCCACCAAGGCAACGAUGGGUAGCCGACCUGAGAGGGUGAUC